RNAcentral lists this ribosomal RNA (207 nucleotides) under uncultured bacterium. RNAcentral describes it as "partial 16S ribosomal RNA". It matches the Rfam family "Bacterial small subunit ribosomal RNA", at positions 568 to 774 of the family's 1533-position model. The record is from RNAcentral.
CACGUAGGCGGUCUGGCAAGUCAGGUGUGAAAGCCCUCGGCUUAACCGAGGAACUGCACCUGAAACUGCUGGACUAGAGUCCGGGAGAGGAGAGUGGAAUUCCCAGUGUAGCGGUGAAAUGCGUAGAUAUUGGGAGGAACACCUGUGGCGAAGGCGGCUCUCUGGACCGGUACUGACGCUGAGGUGCGAAAGCGUGGGGAGCAAACA